This 212-nucleotide long non-coding RNA is filed under the name Elaeis guineensis (African oil palm). Its description in RNAcentral is "long non-coding RNA (EGUI_LNC057607)". Lineage: Eukaryota; Viridiplantae; Streptophyta; Magnoliopsida; Arecales; Arecaceae. The record is from RNAcentral.
UCGAAGCUCUUCCCCUAUCGCAAGGGAUUUCUUUGAAGUCUAUGAUCCAAGAUCUGAGAAGAGAAGUUCAUCACAUAACGAAGAAAUCAAAGAAGAUGGAUGACGAACUUCACAGGCUAAGGAAGAGCCAUUCGGAAGCCAUUAUGGAGGUUACUCGCCUUCGGAACCUCCACAAAAAGGAUUUCAUGGACUACAGUCGGAAGAAGGCCAAC